AUGUCUGUUGGCUUUCCUUGGAGAAACACAAGUUGGAGGUACGCUGCGUUCAUGCCUGACGCCCGGCGUGCACAGUUGCUUCCUCCGGGAGUCAAGUUGAUUCUGAGAGUGGCCAGGGCCGAGAGGCUGAGGUGCAGGUGCAGCAAGAGGGUGUCUUCGGCUCUUGCUCCGGUGGUGGCCAAGGGCGUGCCGCUGCUCGCCGUGGCGAGCACCACGGCGGCGUCAGCAGCCCCGAUGCUGGCCUCGGCGCUGGCGCUGGUGGACGAGCGGAUGUCAAGUGAGGCCACCGGGCUGAGCAACGACCUGCUGGGGUGGGUCCUUCUGGGUUCCAUCGGCCUCGUCUGGUGCUUCUAG
This 354-nucleotide ribosomal RNA is filed under the name Triticum aestivum (bread wheat). Its description in RNAcentral is "partial small subunit ribosomal RNA". The record is from RNAcentral. Lineage: Eukaryota; Viridiplantae; Streptophyta; Magnoliopsida; Poales; Poaceae.